UACGUAGGGUGCGAGCGUUGUCCGGAAUUAUUGGGCGUAAAGAGCUUGUAGGCGGUUUGUCGCGUCUGCUGUGAAAAUCCGGGGCUCAACCCCGGACUUGCAGUGGGUACGGGCAGGCUAGAAUGUGGUAGGGGAGACUGGAAUUCCUGGUGUAGCGGUGGAAUGCGCAGAUAUCAGGAGGAACACCGAUGGCGAAGGCAGGUCUCUGGGCCACUACUGACGCUGAGGCGCGAAAGCCAGGGGAGCAAACGGG
RNAcentral lists this ribosomal RNA (253 nucleotides) under uncultured bacterium. Its description in RNAcentral is "partial 16S ribosomal RNA". It matches the Rfam family "Bacterial small subunit ribosomal RNA", at positions 524 to 776 of the family's 1533-position model. The record is from RNAcentral.